This 726-nucleotide long non-coding RNA is filed under the name Setaria viridis. RNAcentral's name for it is "long non-coding RNA (SVIR_LNC005059)". The record is from RNAcentral. Lineage: Eukaryota; Viridiplantae; Streptophyta; Magnoliopsida; Poales; Poaceae.
UGGAUCGUCUGAUUCGUUUUUUGAGAGUGAACUUUGCUGUCCAUCUAUAGGAUUCUUUAGAUGCGCACUUCAUGCAAGUAACAUGGAUGCGUGUGCAUGUUUGUUCCCACUACAAUUUGACUAAUCUGAGUAGUACUAAAUUAUAGACUUAUAGUAGAGAUAUAUUAGCUGUGGUUGUGCUAUACUCCCUCCGUCCAAAAAAAAAACAAGUCGUUUUAGGAUUGUCCUAAGUCAAACUUUUUAAAAUUUGACCAAGAUUAUAGAAAAAACUACAUAUAUUUAUGGUAUGAAAUAAGUGCCUUAGAUUUAUCAUGAGAUAUGUUUUUAUAAUAUACCUAUUUGAUGCCAUAAACAUUGAUACUUUCUCUAUAAAUUUGGUCAAAGUUGAGAAAGUUUAACUUAAGACAAGCUUAGAAUGACUUGUUUUUUUGGGACGGAGGGAGUAUGCAUUGCUAAUUUCACAUGUGACAGUACACUACUUUUGAGCUCCAGAUUCAAUCUUUGAUAUCUCAUUCUUUCAUUUAGUAAUUCUUCUAUUAAUGAGACCUUGAAUGUAUGAUCUCUCAUUUCUUAUUUACUUUGGCGAGUAUAUAAUUCUAAAUUGUUGUACCUGUUUGGGGAAUUAGAGCCAAACUCUCCUUGAAGCUCUUUUUAAAUUCUUGGUUAUGUAAUCUAAAUUAGUUUUCUCCCCUUUUUCUCAGUUUGGGCCUAGGGCCUUGUACAUGU